AGCAGCCGCGGUAAUUCCAGCUCCAAUAGCGUAUAUUAAAGUUGUUGCAGUUAAAAAGCUCGUAGUUGAAUUUCGGGACUAAUAUGUCGGUCGUGCCUCGGUACGCACUGGCUUAUUGGUUUCUCCUUUCUGAAGAACCAUGAUGUCAUUUAUUUGGUGUCGUGGGGAAUCAGGACUGUUACUUUGAAAAAAUUAGAGUGUUUAAAGCAGGCUCACGCUUGAAUACAUUAGCAUGGAAUAAUGAAAUAGGACGUUUGAUUCUAUUUUGUUGGUUUCUAGGAUCGACGUAAUGAUUAAUAGGGAUAGUUGGGGGCAUUAGUAUUCAAUUGUCAGAGGUGAAAUUCUUGGAUUUAUUGAAGACUAACUACUGCGAAAGCAUUUGCCAAGGAUGUUUUCAUUAAUCAAGAACGAAAGUUAGGGGAUCGAAGACGAUCAGAUACCGUCGUAGUCUUAACCAUAAACUAUGCCGACUAGGGAU
This 478-nucleotide ribosomal RNA is filed under the name uncultured Glomus. RNAcentral's name for it is "SSU rRNA". It matches the Rfam family "Eukaryotic small subunit ribosomal RNA", at positions 569 to 1053 of the family's 1831-position model. Lineage: Eukaryota; Fungi; Glomeromycota; Glomeromycetes; Glomerales; Glomeraceae. The record is from RNAcentral.